GUAGGUGGCAAGCGUUGUCCGGAAUUAUUGGGCGUAAAGCGCGCGCAGGCGGUUCUUUAAGUCUGAUGUGAAAGCCCACGGCUCAACCGUGGAGGGUCAUUGGAAACUGGAGAACUUGAGUACAGAAGAGGAAAGCGGAAUUCCACGUGUAGCGGUGAAAUGCGUAGAGAUGUGGAGGAACACCAGUGGCGAAGGCGGCUUUCUGGUCUGUAACUGACGCUGAGGCGCGAAAGCGUGGGGAGCAAACAGGGAUUAGAUACCCUGGUAGUCCACGCCGUAAACGAUGAGUGCUAAGUGUUAGGGGGUUUCCGCCCCCUUAGUGCUGCAGCUAACGCAUUGAGCACUCCGCCCUGGGAGUACGGCCGCAAGGCUG
RNAcentral lists this ribosomal RNA (373 nucleotides) under uncultured organism. RNAcentral describes it as "partial 16S ribosomal RNA". It matches the Rfam family "Bacterial small subunit ribosomal RNA", at positions 527 to 896 of the family's 1533-position model. The record is from RNAcentral.